AUUGAACGCUGGCGGCAGGCCUAACACAUGCAAGUCGAACGGCAACACCGGACAGCUUGCUGUUUCGCUGGCGAGUGGCGGACGGGUGAGGAAUGCCUCGGAAUCUGCCCAGUGGUGGGGGAUAACGACUGGAAACUUAAGCUAAUACCGCAUACCACCUCCGGGCGAAAGAGGGGGAUCGCCAGACCUCUCGCGAUUGGAUGAGCCCAGGUCGGAUUAGCUAGUUGGCGGGGUAAUGGCCCACCAAGGCGACGAUCCGUAGCUGGUCUGAGAGGAUGAUCAGCCACACUGGAACUGAGACACGGUCCAGACUCCUACGGGAGGCAGCAGUGGGGAAUAUUGGACAAUGGGCGCAAGCCUGAUCCAGCCAUACCGCGUGUGUGAAGAAGGCCUUCGGGUUGUAAAGCCCUUUUGUUGGGAAAGAAAGGUGUCAGGCUAAUACCCUGGGAGGAUGACGGUACCCAAAGAAGAAGCACCGGCUAACUUCGUG
RNAcentral lists this ribosomal RNA (490 nucleotides) under uncultured bacterium. RNAcentral's name for it is "partial 16S ribosomal RNA". It matches the Rfam family "Bacterial small subunit ribosomal RNA", at positions 30 to 507 of the family's 1533-position model. The record is from RNAcentral.